ACACAAUUAACAUAAACAGAUGCUAGUUAAAUGUUUUAAGGAAUAAAUAUAUUGCCAUAACACAGGGGAAUAUAGAUUCAAUUUUGUGAAUGGUCGUCUAAUUGUGACGUAAUUAAUCAAUGUUCCGGAUGUCAUCAGAAGAAGACGUGCCCAUGCUCCGCCUCUGGACCACCGCGACGCGAACGCGUCAUCACGCACCAGCAGCGGCGGCGAACGGUUCACCAAUAACGAUCGGCAAAGCAAAGCAUCGAGGAAAGGACCGACAACUAUCGGGGCUUCACGAAAUGAUUUGAGGAUGCGAGAGAAACGCACGCACACGGUGUCGGGGGUCAUCUUGGCACGGAAUGGCAGGAAAGACUUUCCUUUGGGAUUAUGUAAGCACGAGCAGCGAGAUGUGAGGACGAGCACGACCCUCACUAAAGUGCAUCAGUGUCCCGGAAGCCUCGGUGUCUCCUCCCGUUCUCCGCGAGCGCUCUCUAUUUACACGCUGCCAGUGCGGCACAUUCAUAGGCGAGUAACGUUACUUCAUCAUAUGCAUAAAAAUAUUACCGUCAUUUAAUUUUUUUUAUCCGUAUGACACUAUAACACAUACUGUUUUCUUUUUAAAGAAUAAACUGAUUGUAUUACUAAAAAACUAGAAAUAAUUUAUAAGUGAUAACAUCUCAUCUAAUUUGUGUAUAUUUCAUAUUUCAUAAAUGCGAGCAUUUUUUUAAGUUCGGGAUCCGGAAUUAUGUUAAGCAAAGACUCGUAUGUAUAUGUUUGUAUACUUUGCCAGCAUCACAAUAUGUACUGUACUGUAUGUUGUGGUGUGUCAUGUCAUGUAGCGCGCGACAUCAUCGGGAAGUGUCACCCGCGUCCUUCACGAGCUGCGGCGUCGCUGCGCGCCCGCACGAGGCGCCGGUUUCACGGUUACAGUGCCCGCGCGCAAGGGCAACCGAACCAAAAGAGCUAAAAACUAGGAAAAUCUAUUUUUCUGCAAUAUUCGAGACCCUCUGGUAACAGUAAACCAUUAUUGGGCUUUUUAUGUUCAAGUGGUCUUAGACUAAGCUAAUCACUUCUGACAGAAAGUAUGGCAUAAAGUAAACUGUCAAAAAUGCAUAGUGCUUUAUUAAAAUUAAUGUCAGUAACAAGUCUCCGCAUGUUUACUUUAAUAAUUCGUGUGAAAGCCACUCUAAGCGAUUAAAUACAUUAGUGUAUAAUACGUUUCUUGUAACGCACCGACCGUUAGUCUGUUUCCAAGCCCGGUAAUGGCGUCUUUAUUCCGGCAGGAGUCACCACGCAGCUUCCGCUGGCACGAAUGCCUCAGCUAGCGAGCAAGCUACUGGCGAAUGUACGAGGAAUAUCGCUUACGCCGAUUAAAUUUGUGAAGUGAUGUCUUAAUAUAUACGUAUCAAUACCUCCUUGC
Molecule: long non-coding RNA, 1405 nt
Organism: Carassius auratus (goldfish)
Lineage: Eukaryota; Metazoa; Chordata; Actinopteri; Cypriniformes; Cyprinidae
Exons: 2
Source: RefSeq, a predicted model, not a curated record